RNAcentral lists this ribosomal RNA (493 nucleotides) under uncultured Setophoma. RNAcentral describes it as "eukaryotic LSU rRNA". The stretch from base 157 to 310 matches the Rfam family "5.8S ribosomal RNA". The record is from RNAcentral. Lineage: Eukaryota; Fungi; Ascomycota; Dothideomycetes; Pleosporales; Phaeosphaeriaceae.
UCAUUAUCAAAAGUCAAGUCGGGGGCUGUAAAGCUCUCGUCUACACCCAUGUCUUUUGCGUACUCUUGUUUCCUCGGUGGCGCAAGCUGCCGAUUGGACAAACCAAAACCUUUUUUGUAAUUGCAAUCAGCGUCUGAAAAUAAUCUAAUUAUUUACAACUUUCAACAACGGAUCUCUUGGUUCUGGCAUCGAUGAAGAACGCAGCGAAAUGCGAUAAGUAGUGUGAAUUGCAGAAUUCAGUGAAUCAUCGAAUCUUUGAACGCACAUUGCGCCCCUUGGUAUUCCAUGGGGCAUGCCUGUUCGAGCGUCAUUUGUACCCUCAAGCUUUGCUUGGUGUUGGGCGUCUUGUCGUAUUACGACUCGCCUUAAAUCUAUUGGCAGCCGGCACUUUGGCCUAGGAGCGCAGCACAUUUUGCGAUCGUAGCCCGUUGUACUGGCGUCCAUCAAGAACAUUUACCACGUUUGACCUCGGAUCAGGUAGGGAUACCCGCUG